UGGCGGCAUGCCUUACACAUGCAAGUCGAACGGUUACAGGUCUUCGGACGCUGACGAGUGGCGAACGGGUGAGUAAUACAUCGGAACGUGCCCAGUCGUGGGGGAUAACUACUCGAAAGAGUAGCUAAUACCGCAUACGAUCUGAGGAUGAAAGCGGGGGACCUUCGGGCCUCGCGCGAUUGGAGCGGCCGAUGGCAGAUUAGGUAGUUGGUGGGAUAAAAGCUUACCAAGCCGACGAUCUGUAGCUGGUCUGAGAGGACGACCAGCCACACUGGGACUGAGACACGGCCCAGACUCCUACGGGAGGCAGCAGUGGGGAAUUUUGGACAAUGGGAGAAAGCCUGAUCCAGCAAUGCCGCGUGCAGGAUGAAGGCCUUCGGGUUGUAAACUGCUUUUGUACCGAACGAAAAAGCUUCUCCUAAUACGAGAGGCCCAUGACGGUACGGUAUGAAUAAGCACCGGCUAACUACGUGCCAGCAUCCGCGGUAAUACAUAGGGUGCGAGCGUUAAUCGGAAUUACUGGGCGUAAAGCGUGCGCAGGCGGUGUAUGUAGGACAGAUGUGAAAUCCCCGGAAUUAACCUGGGAACUGCAUUUGGGACUGCAUGGCUAGAGUACGGUAGAGGGGGAUGGAAUUCCGCGUGUAGCAGUGAAAUGCGUAGAUAUGCGGAGGAACACCGAUGGCGAAGGCAAUCCCCUGGACCUGUACUGACGCUCAUGCACGAAAGCGUGGGGAGCAAACAGGAUUAGAUACCCUGGUAGUCCACGCCCUAAACGAUGUCAACUGGUUGUUGGGAAUUAGUUUUCUCAGUAACGAAGCUAACGCGUGAAGUUGACCGCCUGGGGAGUACGGCCGCAAGGUCGAAACUCAAAGGAAUUGACGGGGACCCGCACAAGCGGUGGAUGAUGUGGUUUAAUUCGAUGCAACGCGAAAAACCUUACCCACCUUUGACAUGGCAGGAAGUUUCCAGAGAUGGAUUCGUGCUCGAAAGAGAACCUGCACACAGGUGCUGCAUGGCUGUCGUCAGCUCGCGUCGUGAGAUGUUGGGUUAAGUCCCGCAACGAGCGCAACCCUUGUCAUUAGUUGCUACAUUCAGUUGGGCACUCUAAUGAGACUGCCGGUGACAAACCGGAGGAAGGUGGGGAUGACGUCAAGUCCUCAUGGCCCUUAUAGGUGGGGCUACACACGUCAUACAAUGGCUGGUACAGAGGGUUGCCAACCCGCGAGGGGGAGCUAAUCCCAUAAAACCAGUCGUAGUCCGGAUCGCAGUCUGCAACUCGACUGCGUGAAGUCGGAAUCGCUAGUAAUCGCGGAUCAGCAUGCCGCGGUGAAUACGUUCCCGGGUCUUGUACACACCGCCCGUCACACCAUGGGAGCGGGUCUCGCCAGAAGUAGGUAGCCUAACCGCAAGGAGGGCGCUUACCACGGCGGGGUUCGUGACUGG
RNAcentral lists this ribosomal RNA (1443 nucleotides) under uncultured organism. RNAcentral describes it as "SSU rRNA". It matches the Rfam family "Bacterial small subunit ribosomal RNA". The record is from RNAcentral.